GGGAGUAGGAGGGUCGCUGACAGUGUACGACACUGAGGAAAGUCCCCUCUCCUCGAUGCAUGUGGUCCGGCGUAAGCCGGAGGCCCGGGAGGGUCAGCUCUGCAACAGAAACGAACCGAGUCAGGCGCACUAUGAUCCCGAAGGGGUGAGAUUUCCUGAACUCGGCUGGAACGAGCAUCUCCGCAGGAGCAAGUCCAAGCAGGCCCGUAACGCAUCAACAGGGCCGGGUAGGAUGCAAAGUUGAAUGCGACUAACCGAAAGGCGAACAGAAAGGGGCUUACUCCCUACUCCC
RNAcentral lists this RNase P RNA (292 nucleotides) under Methanobacteriota archaeon. Its description in RNAcentral is "Euryarchaeota archaeon (marine metagenome) RNase P RNA component". It matches the Rfam family "Archaeal RNase P". Rfam says of the family: Ribonuclease P (RNase P) is a ubiquitous endoribonuclease, found in archaea, bacteria and eukarya as well as chloroplasts and mitochondria. Its best characterised activity is the generation of mature 5'-ends of tRNAs by cleaving the 5'-leader elements of precursor-tRNAs. The record is from RNAcentral. Lineage: Archaea; Methanobacteriati; Methanobacteriota.